ACUCAAAUGAAUUGACGGGGACUCGCACAAGCGGUGGAUCAUGUGGUUUAAUUCGAUGAUAAACGAAGAACCUUACCAGGGUUUGAAACUGAACUGAAAGCUCCAAGAAACUGGAGCCCUCGCAAGACUGUUCAGCAGGUGAUGCAUGGUCGUCGUCAGCUCGUGGCUUGAGUUGUUCCCUUAAGUGGGGAAACGAGCGAAACCCUCAUCGUGUGUUACAAGUGUCACACGAGACUGCCCAGCCCUUUGAAUGCAAACGAAAGUUUGUUAGCAAAGGGCUGGGAGGAAGGGGAGGAUGACGCCAGAUCAGCAUGUCCCUUUGAUACCCUGGGCUACACACGUGAUACAAUGGCCACUACAGUGGGAUGCAAGACAGCAAUGUGGAGCAAAUCCAUAAAAGUGGCCCCAGUUCGGAUUGGAGUCUGAAACUCGACUCCAUGAAGUUGGAAUCGCUAGUAAUCGCAGGUCAGCUAUACUGCGGUGAAUACGUUCUCGAGUCUUGUACACACCGCCCGU
RNAcentral lists this ribosomal RNA (516 nucleotides) under uncultured bacterium. RNAcentral describes it as "partial 16S ribosomal RNA". It matches the Rfam family "Bacterial small subunit ribosomal RNA", at positions 899 to 1397 of the family's 1533-position model. The record is from RNAcentral.